GUGUCUUUGGCUUUCUCUAGUCUCUUCUUCUUUUAAUUUAUUUAUAAAAUGUUAACUUUACCAACAAGGGCGUAGAUCAACUAGCAUGGGGUUGUUUUAGCUUAACCAAGGUUCUCGGUUCGAGACUUGGGAAUGCAGCUGCGUUAAAUACUUGUUGGAAAAGCUUUGCCGUCCUAGUGGUCCUACCCGAAUCGAAUCUGGAUUAGUCGUGACCCAAUGUGAUCUUUGGAUACCAAAUGGUUUAAUACACCGAAAAAAAAUGUUAACUUUUUUAAAAUUAAUUAAAAUUAUGAUUUUUGUGGUACAGAUACCUUUUUCAGGAUCUAAGGGUCAUGUCUUAUUACCUGGAAAUGAAAUUCCAGAGUGGUUUAGCUUUAAAAGCGAGGGAUCUUCUAUGACGUUGGAGAUGACACCAGAUUUCUUCAAUAAAAACCGAGUACUCGGCUUUGCUUUUAGCGCUAUUGUAGGAUUUGGAGACCAUCAAGAUGUCAGAGAAGAGAGGUUUAGAUUAUUCUGUGAAAUCAAAGUCAAACCCAAAGAUUGUGAUUCACAUGUCAUACAGAGACCUCUGGCAGUAAUUAGAUAUGUAGAGUCAGAUCACUUACUUUUGGGGGACGAUUUCUUCGAUGAUAAGGAAUUUUUUACUUUUUGGGAGAACAAUUGGGUUCCUGAGGCUAUCCAGUUCUAUUUUAAAGAAGAAUUUGGUUAUGAAAUUUUGGAGUAUUGCCUUGUGAAAAAAUGUGGGAUCCAUUUACUGUACGCCCCAGAUUCUUCGGAUUCAACAGAAGAAGAGGAACCAUGCCCCUAAAGACUGGUAUAUGGCAUGUGCUAGAAGACGUCCAUCGCAGCAGCUCGUACAUUUCUGUAAAUUAUUCUUCCUCUAUAUGUAAUUAUUGUUUUCCUAUAGCUUGGUUUCUUUGUUUUUCUAUAGCUUGGUUUAUUAUAUAUUUAUGUGAUGAGUUUGUAUGUCUCUCUACACUCUAGUAAUGGUUUGUUUAUGUCAUAUGUACAGCUACCAUUUGACCAAGACAAACUUUCUUGUUUGUGAGGAUAUUGAUCAUAAUUUUUGUAGCUGAAGUUAAAGUAAGAGUUAGAGAAGUUUCUUUUGAUUCUUGAUCAAAAGAAAAACGUACGAGUUUGACAGAACCAUCGUCAUCUUUCAUUGUACGUUUUCUAUGUAUUAAUUGAAUUGUUCUGACAUGAUUAUCGUUGUUUGGACACUGUUACACAUCGAUUGAAUGACUUGAACGAUUUUAUAAUGUUUAUAGAUUGUUACAAUUAGAUAACAUUCGCUACAUAAGCAAAGAAAUAAUAGGAAUUUAAAAAAAAAUACAAUAUGAAAAAUCAACUGCCAAUCUUCAUAACCUAAUUUAGGUGCUACAAUACUUGUUAUAAAUGUUUCGAUAGCAUCUUAUAUAAAAUGUUAUAAGGCACUAAAGCACUUGCAUCAUUAAAUCUAAUCAUAAUUCAACAAUUAAUAAUUCAACACUUAGCAUAUAUAACAUACAGCAACACUAUAAACCCAUAAAUAAAAGUACCACAACAUAAAUCCAACAUCCAAAAUAACAUAAAUUCAAGUUUAACACCACCACAAGUCCACAUAGGUUGUUUCAUUUUUUUCAUUUAACUUAUAUAUUUUUUAAUUUAAUAAAUAAUUGAAUAAAAAAAUAAUACGGAUCCAGAUAUUUGAUUUUCUAGAUGCACUUGUAUCUAGAUCCCAAUCCGGAUUUGUACGAAUCUUAAUUUUUAACAUCCAAUUUAUUUUUUAAUGUGCGGAUUCCAAAUUUCCUUUAUCUCAAUAUUUACGAAUUUGGUCAGAUCCAUAUAUUUUUACUAUCCCCAUACAUAGCCAUAAUUCAAGUUACGUCUAUAUGGGCCAAUGGGCUCUUUGGCACAAUUUAUGCACUCAUAAGUUUUUAUGAGUUCGAGUCUCCGUAAUGAUUAUUGGAAUUUUAUCUUCUUUCCUAUUAAAUUAAGGGAAAAAUAUUUUUUGUUAAUACAGCAGAGUAGCUAAUUUUCUAAUAUUAUAUGAGAAUAGAAAUUUAGGUCAGGCUAUACUAAAUUUAUCAAGGAUAAUUUGAUAGACUUUUGACUGAAAGUAUCAAUAAUUGCGACUCAAUUUUCCUUCCAAUAAAAUUAAGUGGGGCACAUUUCUUUCUUGCUAAUACAGUAGAAUAGAUAUUUCUCUAGCAUUAUAUAAGAGUAAAAAUUUAAGCUCUCUUAUACUAAAGUUAUCAAUGGUAGUUUUAAUAGAUUUUUUUAAUUGUAAAUAUUAAUAAAAUUCUAUUAUUGUAUUAUUGUAUAAAAAAUAAAAACAACAAAGUCACUUUUGCAUCAACUUCGAAGAGAAGUUAAGACUUUUGAGUUUUGACCCGAACAGAACCAAAGAGACCAUUUUUUUUAAUUAAAAUCUGAAAAUAUUAUUGAAGACUACCUAUGAGAUGGUGUAUUCUAUAAAUAAUUAAAUAUAGUUUAAUUGUAAUUUUUAAUUUUUUAAUGGGUUAAUUUCAGCCUACCCACUUCGUGAAGUGACAAUCUUUAAAUCGCCCCCCUUACUAUUGAAAACAUUAAGUUACCCCCUAAAAUUCGUUAUCUUUAACCAUUGACCGCCGUUGACUCAUAAAAGUACGACAACACCCGUACCUUAACAGAAUAUUCUUGUAACGGUAUUGUGAGAAUAAAAAAAAAUGUUUAUGUGUGACUAGUCAUUGGAAAAUGAAAAAAAUUAGUUUAUGUAUGACUAGUCAUUGAAAAAUAAAUUAAAAAAUAAAGUGUUAGAAAUGACUUAAUGGGUCUAAAUAAAUUGAUAAUUUUCCUAAAUUAGACAUGUUAGUUAAAUAAGUUACAAGACAUGCCAUCAUAUAUAAAUUACGAUAAUGCCAUUUUCGUCUUUUUCUUUCAUUUCUCUUCAUCUUUUCUUUCAUUUUUUUUCUCAUCCUUACUCCUUUGUCUUUUCCUUUCAUUUGUUUUUUCCUCAUCCUUACUCCUUCUUCAUCUUUUUCUUCAUUUUUUUUCUUUUCUUCCAUGUACAUGACUCCAGUAACUUUUUUUCUUUCCUUUCAUUUUUUUCAUCCUUACUCCUUCUUCUUUUCGUUUCAUUUUUUUUUUCUCAUCCUUACUUUUUCUUCGUCUUUUUAUUCAUUUUUUUUCUUUCAUGUAUAUGACUCCAUUAGCAUUUCUUUUUUCUUUCCUUUCAUUUUUCUCAUCCUUACUCCUUUCAUUUGUUUGGUGAAACUCCAGUAGCAUAUUUCUUUUGUUAUUUGAUUUUCCUUUUUUUAUAUCUAUAUUUUCUGUAAGUACCUUUACAAAAUGAAAAAAGAAUAAUAAUGAUAAUAAUAAAGAGACAGACUUCUAAACUACACAAAUAUUACAAUAAUAAUGAUAUUUGGGAUUACUUAAUUUUAGAUUAUAAAUAUUCUUUAAUCUUGAACUAACCAUAUUAAUAAUAAAAGAAUGAAUUUAUUUUAUUAUUGUUUAUUAUGGUCAGUUUGAUGAAUAAACAAAAGAUUUGAAGAGUUCUAGGUUGUGUGCAAUGACAGUGAUUUUGGUGAGAAGGGUUUUGAAGUUCGCCCCCCUUACUAUUGAAAACAUUAAGUUACCCCCUAAAAUUCGUUAUCUUUAACCAUUGACCGCCGUUGACUCAUAAAAGUACGACAACACCCGUACCUUAACAGAAUAUUCUUGUAACGGUAUUGUGAGAAUAAAAAAAAAUGUUUAUGUGUGACUAGUCAUUGGAAAAUGAAAAAAAUUAGUUUAUGUAUGACUAGUCAUUGAAAAAUAAAUUAAAAAAUAAAGUGUUAGAAAUGACUUAAUGGGUCUAAAUAAAUUGAUAAUUUUCCUAAAUUAGACAUGUUAGUUAAAUAAGUUACAAGACAUGCCAUCAUAUAUAAAUUACGAUAAUGCCAUUUUCGUCUUUUUCUUUCAUUUCUCUUCAUCUUUUCUUUCAUUUUUUUUCUCAUCCUUACUCCUUUGUCUUUUCCUUUCAUUUGUUUUUUCCUCAUCCUUACUCCUUCUUCAUCUUUUUCUUCAUUUUUUUUCUUUUCUUCCAUGUACAUGACUCCAGUAACUUUUUUUCUUUCCUUUCAUUUUUUUCAUCCUUACUCCUUCUUCUUUUCGUUUCAUUUUUUUUUUCUCAUCCUUACUUUUUCUUCGUCUUUUUAUUCAUUUUUUUUCUUUCAUGUAUAUGACUCCAUUAGCAUUUCUUUUUUCUUUCCUUUCAUUUUUCUCAUCCUUACUCCUUUCAUUUGUUUGGUGAAACUCCAGUAGCAUAUUUCUUUUGUUAUUUGAUUUUCCUUUUUUUAUAUCUAUAUUUUCUGUAAGUACCUUUACAAAAUGAAAAAAGAAUAAUAAUGAUAAUAAUAAAGAGACAGACUUCUAAACUACACAAAUAUUACAAUAAUAAUGAUAUUUGGGAUUACUUAAUUUUAGAUUAUAAAUAUUCUUUAAUCUUGAACUAACCAUAUUAAUAAUAAAAGAAUGAAUUUAUUUUAUUAUUGUUUAUUAUGGUCAGUUUGAUGAAUAAACAAAAGAUUUGAAGAGUUCUAGGUUGUGUGCAAUGACAGUGAUUUUGGUGAGAAGGGUUUUGAAGUUUUAGAUUAAGUUUGUGGUUGCAUUUUUCUUUUGUUCUUUGAUUUUUUUUUAUCCAUAUAUUUUUUUAAAUACCAUUGCAAAAGGAAAAAGAAUAAUAAUGAUUAUAAUAAUAAAUAUAAAAAUGUAAAAUGUUAUUCUUUUUCAUUUAUAACUUUAAUUAAUUUCUUUAUUUAUUUUUAAAAUAAAAAUUUUAAAUACAAAAAAUUAAAAUUUAAUCAGUUCGAACAAAUUUGACAUAUAGGUACGAAAUGAAAAUAUUUUAAAAUAUUCGGGACGCAUAUCAUAAAUAUUUAAAAUAUUUAUGUGUGUUUUGAAAAACUUAGAAAGAUUUGAGCCCAUAAAAAUUAACCCAUAUAAAGAUUUGACUUUUUUCCAUUUUUUUACUGUUAGAGGAAUGCACAAAUACCGUUUUACCCUUUUAGCCGUUAAAAAUAACAUACAAAUAAUGAUUUUUGAGGGGUAGGUUAAUGUUUUCAAUAGUAAGGGGGGCGAUUUGAAGAUUGUCAUUUUGCGAGGGGGUAUGGUGAAGUUUAUCCUUUUUUUAAUUAAAGAUAGCAAAUUUCAGAAAGUGAGCACUUUAUAAAUCUAAUUUAAAAUCAAAAUAAACCAAUAUCAAGCCUUAAUCAUAAAACUAUACAAUUCAGUUAAAAUGGUAAGGUGGUAUAAUUAAAGAGUAAAAUCCAAAAAAAGAAAAAAGAAAGAAUUUGUCUGAUCAUUAUUUGAACUAAAAUGAUCUACGCAAUUACUUUCGAAAAAAAAAAUGAUCUGCAUAAUUAUUUAACAAAGAUUAGAAGUGGGGUGGUCUUUUACUUUUGCCCCUUAGGAGGGGACAGUCAUUUAUCUUUCUUUCCAGCCGUCCUCCAUUAUUUGUUUUGUGGCUGGAAUUAGACUCGGGCAAGUUAACAAAACUGACCAAUCAAAUUAUUGCAUUGCUCACGGAAAAUGAAAAUAAGAGGAUAGGAUCCUCCGCUGAAAGCAUCUAAGUAGUAAGAUUUAAUUUUUCUAAGUUAUAAUGUACAAAUAAGAUUUAAUUAAUUAUUAAUUAAUUAUUAAUUAAUACUUGAGUUAUUAUACAUCAUAUUAGAAAAAAAUUUUAUUUAAAAAAUAAGAUAAAAUUAUUACAAAUUUAUUUAUUAGAAGCUUCUAGAGUGAUGAACAUUUACUUUCAAAUAUGACGGAACAAUAGUUCGAGUCCUUAUAUUAUAAUAUAAAAACUUAAUUUCUCUUUUAAUUGAAAAAUAAUUAAAUAAAAAUAUUUUUUUUAAAUAUAAGCAAAAUAGAUAUCAUUUGAAUAUUAAAAAAUAAUAUUUUUUUAAUAAAAUAUAAGUACGAAUAAACAUCCUUGAACGCUAGUGAGGCUUAGUUAUCUAUUAUGACAUCACGGUUUAAAAAAAAUUAAAAAGAACUAGCUUCAUCUAUAAUUCGAUAUACUGUUCAGUCUCGCGUUCAAUUAUUUUCAUUUUCAUCCGAUCAAAAUCUUUCAUCAAUUAGACUGUACUGAGUCUGUGCAUGAUGGCUUCUUCUUCCUCCUCUUCUAAUCCUCGAAACAACAAGCAUGAUGUUUUUCUUAGUUUCAGUGGAGAAGACACCCGCGACAACUUUACUAGCCAUCUUUAUUCAGCCUUGUGUCAGAAAGGUGUUGAAACUUUCAUUGAUGACCAACUCAACCGGGGAGAUGAAAUUUCACAGUCUCUUCUUGAUACAAUUGAAGCAUCAAGCAUUUCAAUUAUCAUUUUCUCAGAAAAGUAUGCUUCUUCGGGAUGGUGUCUCGAUGAACUUUCAAAGGUCCUCGAUUGCAGGAAAGUAUAUGCACAGAUUGUGAUACCAGUUUUCUAUCGGGUCGAUCCAUCACAUGUGAGAAAGCAAAUUGGGAGUUUUGGGGUUUCAUUUUCGAAGCUUAAAGAAAAAUUUCCAGAGAAGAUGCAAAGAUGGAGGAGUGCUUUGACGGAAGCAGCCAAUCUCUCUGGCUUUGAUUCUUUUGUCAUCAGGUAACAGUAACAGUCAAUUUGCUACCAAUUUUAUAAUUAUUUUAUUAGGGUACUCAUCAAUAUAAAAAAUUAUAGUAUCAAAUAUUAAAUCAUUUCGUGAAGACGAUUAGAUUGCAUAAUAUCUUACACAAUUUUUAUAAUUGUUUUAUUUACUCAAGUUCUAAUACGGUUAUAUGACUUGUUUCAAAGCAAAAAAAUCUGCAUCAAAUUAACAAUUGGAACUAAUAAAAAAACUCUGUUUUUGUCUCUUUUUGAACUUAAUGCUAUAUUUUUUUAUUUGCUAGGAAUGAAUCUGAACUUAUAAAGAAAGUUGUUAAUGACAUUUUGGAGAAACUGCCCAAAGUGGUCCCAUGUGAUAGCAAAAACGAGCUGGUCGGAGUAGAAUCAAGAGUUGAGGAAAUUGAGUCUCUGUUGGGUGCUGCACCUCUAUUAGGGAUUUGGGGCAUUGGUGGUAUAGGCAAGACAACAAUUGCUAGGGUGAUUUUCAACAGAAUCUCUAGAAAUUUUGAAGGUUCUUGCUUCCUUGAAAAUGUUAGAGAAGAAUCACAAAAGCCGGGAGGAUUAGCUUCCUUGCAACAAAAACUUCUUUCAGAAGUAUUGAAGGAUGUAAAUGUGAUUCCACAUACUGACCUCAACUUUAGAAGGCUUAGCUGCAGGAAGGUUCUGAUUGUUUUAGAUGAUGUGACUUGUUUAAACCAAAUCGAAUCCUUAGUUGGAAGUCUUGAUCGGUUACUGCCUGAGAGUCGAAUCUUAAUUACCACAAGAAAUAAACAAGUGCUUAGAAAUUGUCAUGUCAACCAAAUAUAUGAGAUUAAGGGUUUAGGAGAUGAUCAUGCACUUGAGCUUUGUAUUAGACAUGCCUUCAGACAAAACCUUGUGGAUGUAGAUUAUAAGGAACUGUCAGACAAGGUUAUAAACUACGCUCAAGGUGUUCCUUUAGCUCUUAAAAUUUUGGGUUGCUAUCUAUUUGAAAGGAAAAAGGAAGUUUGGGAAAAUGCAAUAAAAAAAUUGAAAAAUUUUCUCCAUCAAAAUAUCCUAGAUGUCUAAAAAUAAGUUACGAUGACUUGGAGAAUGACGAGAAAAACAUUUUCCUAGAUGUUGCUUGUUUCUUUAAAGGUGAGGAUAUAUAUCUAGUAAAGAAAUUCUUUGAGGCAAGUGGCUUCUACCCAUAAAUAGGAAUAAGUAUUCUUGUUGAUAAGGCUCUCAUUGCUAUCAAUUCAUACAAAAAGAUAACAAUGCAUGAUUUGCUGCAAGAAUUAGGUAGGGAAAUUGUCCGGCAAGAAUCAACAAAUCCUGGAAACCGUACUCGAUUGUGGCAUCAUGAGGAUAUCUAUGAGGUUCUUGCAUAUAAUAGGGUAAGCAAUUUUUAUUUUUUGGGGGAUUGUUAUUUUUUAAUAUUCUUGCAUUAGUUACAAACUUGAAAGGCAUAUAAUUAAUAUACAUAAGGAAAUAGCUCUUUUCACUCCUCCAGGAUUUGAUGUAAUAACUCAUUUGAUUCCUUUUUUUUUUAAUACAAUAUUGCAAAACACCCUUCGAUUAAUUUACUAUUAGUUUCUUGCCUUUUGAAUAUAAUUCAUUGAGGGCAAAAUAAGAUUGUCAAUUAAAUUGAUGCUUCCAAAAUUUAUUUUGACUUUCUCUUUUUCUCCUUAAAGUUUAUUUAUUUAUUUUGACCCUUGCCACCACUCUUCUUUUACCAUUAUUUUUCCUCCACGUCGGCUCACAGGAUAAUUAAAGAGUGUACUUGUACAAAUAUGAAUAUUGUGUCUAUUUUUGGUACUUAAAUCUAGGGUUAACAACACUUGAGAAAGUACUACCUCAUGGUGCUAAAACAAAGAGUGAGGGCACCAAAAUAGAAUUAAAAGGUAUGUAUACAUAUUAUACAUAUUGACAUGUAAAUUAUGUAUACGAACGAUAAUGUAACAAUUUGACAUGGUAUCUAUAACAUAUUGCUAUAUCACCAUCUAAUCACAAUCGUUAGUUUAUUUUUUUUAAUACAAUGAGAAAAAUACUCUUUUCACCCUUAGAGUUUAAUGUAAUAGCUAAUUUCAUCCCAGUUUUUUAAACAAUAGCCCAAAACACCCUUCCAUUAAUUUAUCGUUAGUUUACUACUAUUUAUAAUUCAUUGAGGGAAAAAUAAGAUUUUCAAUUAAAGAGAUAAAAACAAUUUCAUCUUUUUCAGGAUAGGAUAAAAUUCCUUUUCACUUAGGCGUCAACUUUUAUUUUUUUAAAUCUUUCUCUUUAAUUGAAAAUCCUAUUUUGCCCUCAAUGAAUUAUAAACAAUAGUAAACUACAGCAAAUUAAUUGAAGGAUGUUUUACACUAUUGUUUUAAAAAAACUAGGAUAAAAUGAACUAUUACAUCAAACUCUGAUGACUUGGAGAAUGACGAGAAAAACAUUUUCCUAGAUGUUGCUUGUUUCUUUAAAGGUGAGGAUAUAUAUCUAGUAAAGAAAUUCUUUGAGGCAAGUGGCUUCUACCCAUAAAUAGGAAUAAGUAUUCUUGUUGAUAAGGCUCUCAUUGCUAUCAAUUCAUACAAAAAGAUAACAAUGCAUGAUUUGCUGCAAGAAUUAGGUAGGGAAAUUGUCCGGCAAGAAUCAACAAAUCCUGGAAACCGUACUCGAUUGUGGCAUCAUGAGGAUAUCUAUGAGGUUCUUGCAUAUAAUAGGGUAAGCAAUUUUUAUUUUUUGGGGGAUUGUUAUUUUUUAAUAUUCUUGCAUUAGUUACAAACUUGAAAGGCAUAUAAUUAAUAUACAUAAGGAAAUAGCUCUUUUCACUCCUCCAGGAUUUGAUGUAAUAACUCAUUUGAUUCCUUUUUUUUUUAAUACAAUAUUGCAAAACACCCUUCGAUUAAUUUACUAUUAGUUUCUUGCCUUUUGAAUAUAAUUCAUUGAGGGCAAAAUAAGAUUGUCAAUUAAAUUGAUGCUUCCAAAAUUUAUUUUGACUUUCUCUUUUUCUCCUUAAAGUUUAUUUAUUUAUUUUGACCCUUGCCACCACUCUUCUUUUACCAUUAUUUUUCCUCCACGUCGGCUCACAGGAUAAUUAAAGAGUGUACUUGUACAAAUAUGAAUAUUGUGUCUAUUUUUGGUACUUAAAUCUAGGGUUAACAACACUUGAGAAAGUACUACCUCAUGGUGCUAAAACAAAGAGUGAGGGCACCAAAAUAGAAUUAAAAGGUAUGUAUACAUAUUAUACAUAUUGACAUGUAAAUUAUGUAUACGAACGAUAAUGUAACAAUUUGACAUGGUAUCUAUAACAUAUUGCUAUAUCACCAUCUAAUCACAAUCGUUAGUUUAUUUUUUUUAAUACAAUGAGAAAAAUACUCUUUUCACCCUUAGAGUUUAAUGUAAUAGCUAAUUUCAUCCCAGUUUUUUAAACAAUAGCCCAAAACACCCUUCCAUUAAUUUAUCGUUAGUUUACUACUAUUUAUAAUUCAUUGAGGGAAAAAUAAGAUUUUCAAUUAAAGAGAUAAAAACAAUUUCAUCUUUUUCAGGAUAGGAUAAAAUUCCUUUUCACUUAGGCGUCAACUUUUAUUUUUUUAAAUCUUUCUCUUUAAUUGAAAAUCCUAUUUUGCCCUCAAUGAAUUAUAAACAAUAGUAAACUACAGCAAAUUAAUUGAAGGAUGUUUUACACUAUUGUUUUAAAAAAACUAGGAUAAAAUGAACUAUUACAUCAAACUCUGAGGGUGAAAAGGGUAUUUUCUCAUUGUAUUAAAAAAAAAAACUAACUAAUGAUUGUGAUGUGGCAAUAUCUUAUAGGGGUCCAGCUAGCUUGCAACCGUGAUUUGGUACCCCAUUUUUUGUCUUUUUGUGAUCCAACCAUUGGAUUCAACCCAAGAGUUGCAAAAGUUAUUCUAACGGCAAGGAUAUAAUUAUUUGGUUAUUAAUGCUGCAGCCCCUCUACAAAAAAAUCCAUUUUUUUAAUAUAAUUUUUUUAAAAUAAAAUACCCAUUUAAUGUUUUACCAUUUAAGAUAGUGUUACUUAUAAGGAUAAAUAAUUAUUUUAAUUAAAUAAAUGAAACUUAACUUUUAUUUAUUUCUAUAAAUUUGUUCAACAUCAAAUAACCUUAUAAUUGUUAGCAUAAGAUAUAAAUUUAGUCUAAAAAAUUUAUUCAAAGGGUCCCCUUAGGGUAAAAAAUUAACUAUCAUAUAAUAUUUUGGUUGGCACAAACAAAAUUUAUUCAAAGGGUCCCCUCAGGGUAAAAAAUUAAUUAUCAUGUGAUAAUUUGGUUGGCACAAACUCUAUUAUUCUUAAUUUACUUAUUCAUGCCAAACACUAUAUUGGAAUUAAAUUUUAGUAAAAUAAACAUAUGUCACCAUCUUUAACCGCAUUCAACAGGCCCUAAUUGUUGAGAGAGCAAGAUAUAGUUCUUUUCUUAUUAUAGUAGUAAAAAUAAAUAAAAAUAAACACAAUAGAUUUCUUUUAAGAGAAUGCAAGCAUUAUUUUUAUGAGAUUUUGUGUUCAAGAAAUUAAUCUAAUUAUGUGGUUAGAAGACUCUCUAUUUUUUUAUAUUUUAGAAGAAUUAUAUGUUGGAUAAAUGAAUAAAUUAAGAUCAAGCAAAACAAAAUGAUUGAGAAGAAAACCGAAAGCGAAUAAUUUUUUAGAAUUUUAAAAUUUUCAUAUUUUAAUUGGGGUUUAUUUUGUAAAAUUAUUGAAAUUUAUAGUUUUUAAUAUUACAGAAAACAGUAGAGAUUGUUGAGGAAAAUGCCAAAUAAAUUUUUUAAAAUUCUAAAAUUAUUAUAUUUUUAUUAGAACUUAUUGUGUAAAUUUUUUAAAAUUUAUAGUUUUUAUUAUUUACCAAAAACAAUGGGGACUGUUAAAGAAAAUGUCAAAUUUGGGUGUUUGGUAUAACGGAGGCAAGGUAGUUCCGUCCUAUCUUAUAGAUACCAUGUCAAAUUCGUUCGUAUGCAUAUAUAAUUUAUGUGUCAAUAUGUAUAAGAUGUAUGCAUGCUUUUUAAAGAUAGUAUUACUUGUACUUGUCCAGAUAUGUUUCUUUGUAAGUUUGCUAUUAUAAGUUUUACUAAAAGCAAUAGCUAUAUAAUUUGAUAUAACUUUAAGGUUUUUUUAUUGGUUACAAUUGAACACAUAAUUUGAAAAUUUUCACAUUGUUCAUCACCUUUGUUUUUCUCUAAACACUUAAUUUCCUCACCUUUCUUUCAUUAUUACUAUUAUUAUUAUUAUUAUUGCAUCAUUACAUAAUCUCUUCACUUUUGGGAUCCUUUAGUUACACUUAAACUUUUCAGAAAUAAAAGUUAAAUGAUAUUGUCAUAAUUGCAUGGCACCCUGUAAUAAGAACCUCUGGGAGCUACUCUUGAUUCAGUGACCAAUCCUUCGGACCCACUAACCAAUCAAACUAGCUUGAUGAGGAGGGUCUAUUUAAAUUAAGUAGCCUCUUUCUUAGUCUUUUUUUUUUUUUUUUUGAAUUUGCCCCAUAGUUCAAUACAAAUCAUAGUAUUAUUUCUAACCGAAAGUGAAAAUCGAUCCACUUAACAGAAAUCAUACAUAGAUUAUUGUUAAUAAUGAUUGUGGCAGUACAUAUCAUAAAUGCCACUUCAACUUGUAUGUAAAAGUUUGUAUCCCAUAUAUCUUUCUUUGUGCAUUCAUAAUUACAAGUUGGACAGCCUAAUAAUACCCAUCAACUGAAUUAUAUAAUAUUUGGUUUUAACUUUGUGGAUUUUUUUUUUAAAUAUUAGGGAACCGAAGCAAUUGAAGGCAUGUGCUUGGAUAUGUCUAAAGUAAAAAGAGAUCUAUCUAAAUUCCGACACUUUCACUAAGAUGCGUAAAUUGAGAUUUUUGAAAUUUUAUAUCUCGACUCAUAAAGGAGAGAAUAAAUGUAAGGUGUCUAAUUUUCGAAGCCCUAUAUUUGCUGAAAUAAGGUAUUUUCAUUUGGCAUGGAUAUCCGUUGAAAUCUUUGCCUUCAAAUAUUGAUCCGGAGAAACUUGUUUUACUUGAAAUGCCUCAUAGCAAUAUUGAACAACUUUGGAGUGGUAACCAGGUAUGUGUAUCUUAAUAUGUAUAUAUAGAUAUUAAAUGUGCAAUGUUUUAGUAACAAUGUUUAAUUAUAUAUCACAAAUGCUAAUAAUUAAUGAUUUUUUGGGGUCCCCCCCAAAGCUUAAUUUAGUUGAAUGGAAAUUAAAUAUUUAAAUGGUAAAGUGUUUGGCUAUUACUUUUUUUUUUUUGGGGUCCCCCCCAAAGCUUAAUUUAGUUGAAUGGAAAUUAAAUAUUUAAAUGGUAAAGUGUUUGGCUAUUACUUUUUUUUUUUUGGGGUCCCCCCCAAAGCUUAAUUUAGUUGAAUGGAAAUUAAAUAUUUAAAUGGUAAAGUGUUUGGCUAUUACUUUUUUUUUUUUGGGGUCCCCCCCAAAGCUUAAUUUAGUUGAAUGGAAAUUAAAUAUUUAAAUGGUAAAGUGUUUGGCUAUUACUUUUUUUUUUUUGGGGUCCCCCCCAAAGCUUAAUUUAGUUGAAUGGAAAUUAAAUAUUUAAAUGGUACCAAAAGGUAUUGAAUAUUGAUGAGGUACCAAAUUUUGAAUUUUUCUCUGCUGUACGGCCAAGGCGGAUGUACGGUACAGCAGUCCUCACUUAUAAACUUGUAUCUAGAUAAAAACAAUUUUGAGAGAAUACCAGAAAGCAUUAUACAACUUUCUACGUUGUUAUAUUUCCGCUUGAGUCAUUGUGAGAGGCUUCAAUCCUUACCAGAGCUUCCUUGCUCUCUGCUUGAGUUGGAUGCACAUCAUUGCACGGCACUGGAAUAAUUAUCAGGUUUAUUCUUAAGGGAUGAACCUUAUCGUCCGUGUAUUGACCUGAGCGAUAAUUAUAAAAUGGAUCAGAAUGUGACCAGAGGAAUUCUCCAAGAUGCUCUACAAAAGUUUAAGCAUAUGGCAACUGAAUGUCGGAAACGAGUAGAGGAAAAGGUGUGUCUUUGGCUUUCUCUAGUCUCUUCUUCUUUUAAUUUAUUUAUAAAAUGUUAAUUUUUUAAAAAUUAAUUAAAAUUAUGAUUUUUGUGGUACAGAUACCUUUUUCAGGAUCUAAGGGUUAUAUCUUAUUACCUGGAAGUGAAAUUCCAGAGUGGUUUAGCUUUAAAAGCGAGGGAUCUUCUAUGACCUUGGAGAUGACACCAGAUUUCUUCAAUAAAAACAGAGUACUCGGCUUUGCUUUUAGCGCUAUUGUAGGAUUUGGAGACCACCAAGAUGUCAGAGAAGCGAGGUUUAAAUUAUUCUGGGAAAUCAAAGUCAAACCCAAAGAUUGUGAUUCGCAUGUCAUACAGAGAUCUCUGGCAAUAAUUAGAUAUGUGGAGUCAGAUCACUUACUUUUGGGGGAUGAUUUCUUUGAUGAUAAGGAUUUUUUUACUUUUUGGGAGAACAAUUGGGUUCC
RNAcentral lists this long non-coding RNA (13941 nucleotides) under Citrus sinensis (sweet orange). Its description in RNAcentral is "long non-coding RNA (CSIN_LNC002190)". The record is from RNAcentral. Lineage: Eukaryota; Viridiplantae; Streptophyta; Magnoliopsida; Sapindales; Rutaceae.